CAUAUCAAUAAGCGGAGGAAAAGAAACUAACAAGGAUUCCCCUAGUAACUGCGAGUGAAGCGGGAAAAGCUCAAAUUUAAAAUCUGGCAGCCUUUGGUUGUCCGAGUUGUAAUCUAGAGAAGUGUUAUCCGCGCUGGACCGUGUACAAGUCUCCUGGAAUGGAGCGUCAUAGAGGGUGAGAAUCCCGUCUUUGACACGGACUGCCAGGGCUUUGUGAUGCGCUCUCAAAGAGUCGAGUUGUUUGGGAAUGCAGCUCAAAAUGGGUGGUAAAUUCCAUCUAAAGCUAAAUAUUGGCGAGAGACCGAUAGCGAACAAGUACCGUGAGGGAAAGAUGAAAAGAACUUUGGAAAGAGAGUUAAACAGUACGUGAAAUUGCUGAAAGGGAAACGCUUGAAGUCAGUCGCGUUGUCCAGGGAUCAACCUUGCUUUUGCUUGGUGCACUUUCUGGUUGACGGGUCAGCAUCAAUUUUGACUAUUGGAAAAAGAUUAGGGGAAUGUGGCAUCUUUGGAUGUGUUAUAGCCCUUAGUUGCAUACAAUGGUUGGGAUUGAGGAACUCAGCACGCCGCAAGGCCGGGUUUUUAACCACGUACGUGCUUAGGAUGCUGGCAUAAUGGCUUUAAUCGACCCGUCUUGAAACACGGACCAAGGAGUCUAACAUGCCUGCGAGUGUUUGGGUGGAAAACUCGAGCGCGUAAUGAAAGUGAAAGUUGAGAUCCCUGUCGUGGGGAGCAUCGACGCCCGGACCAGACCUUUUGUGACGGUUCCGCGGUAGAGCAUGUAUGUUGGGACCCGAAAGAUGGUGAACUAUGCCUGAAUAGGGUGAAGCCAGAGGAAACUCUGGUGGAGGCUCGUAGCGAUUCUGACGUGCAAAUCGAUCGUCAAAUUUGGGUAUAGGGGCGAAAGACUAAUCGAACCAUCUAGUAGCUGG
This 929-nucleotide ribosomal RNA is filed under the name Cortinarius sp. PDD 80265. Its description in RNAcentral is "partial large subunit ribosomal RNA". It matches the Rfam family "Eukaryotic large subunit ribosomal RNA", at positions 39 to 954 of the family's 3401-position model. The record is from RNAcentral. Lineage: Eukaryota; Fungi; Basidiomycota; Agaricomycetes; Agaricales; Cortinariaceae.